RNAcentral lists this ribosomal RNA (792 nucleotides) under uncultured Neocallimastigales. Its description in RNAcentral is "partial large subunit ribosomal RNA". It matches the Rfam family "Eukaryotic large subunit ribosomal RNA", at positions 22 to 635 of the family's 3401-position model. Lineage: Eukaryota; Fungi; Neocallimastigomycota; Neocallimastigomycetes; Neocallimastigales. The record is from RNAcentral.
GUACACGCUGUGACUAGCAUAUCAAUAAGCGGAGGAAAAGAGAACUAACAAGGAUUCCCCUAGUAACGGCGAGUGAAGCGGGAAGAGCUCAAAUUUGAAAUCUUAAAGGGUUUCCCUUUACGAAUUGUAGUUUAAAGAAGUGUUUUUCUGUUGAGGUUUUUGGUAAAAGUUCUUUGGAAUAGGACAUCAUAGAGGGUGAGAAUCCCGUAUUUGACCUUUACUUUCAACUUUGUGAUGACACUUUCAAAGAGUCGGAUUGUUUGGGAAUGCAGUCCAAAAUGGGUGGUAAAUUUCAUCUAAAGCUAAAUAUUGGCGAGAGGACCGACUAGCGAACAAGUACCGUGAGGGAAAGAUGAAAAGAACUUUGAAAAGAGAGUUAAAACAGUACGUGAAAUUGUCAAAAGGGAAGCGUUUUGACACCAGUGUUGUUUUUUCUGAAAAUCAAUUAAAGAAACUGUUUUAUGCUAAGUUGUUUAGACUUUAUCAGCUAACCUGUUUAGUUUUCGAGCUUUUCUUUAAUGCACUUUUUCAGUUAACAAGUCAACAUCAAUUUCUUUUGCUGUAAAAAAAGCUUGAGGAAGGUGGCUUGAGAUUCGUCCUUAAGUGUUUUAUAGCCUCUUGCCUAUGCAGUCGGAGAGAGUUGAGGUCUGCAGCGUAGAUCCUCCGGGGCUAAAUGCAUUUGUGCUAAGUUAUAGCAUUUUAUAGACAACUUGUUGACUAUGAUUUGUCUUGUAGCUUACUCGCUUAUGUUAUUUUACCUACGCUUAGGAUGUUGAUAUGCAUGACUGAUAU